RNAcentral lists this long non-coding RNA (20817 nucleotides) under Brassica rapa (field mustard). Its description in RNAcentral is "long non-coding RNA (BRAP_LNC000273)". The record is from RNAcentral. Lineage: Eukaryota; Viridiplantae; Streptophyta; Magnoliopsida; Brassicales; Brassicaceae.
AAAGAUAUCAAGGUCUGCAAAUUUAGACGUCGUUGCGAUAUUGGGUGCUUUCCGUGAGAUGAGAAACGGAGGUUAAUGGGGAGAUUGAGAACAGCUUUUCUUGCCGUCUCUCUCGUUUUUCUUGUUUGCGUUUCCGAGGAGAUUAUCUCUCGACGCGGCGCCAACCGCGGCGAGGCUCACGGUGGCGAUGAUGUGGUAAGUUCAUCCUCCUUGCUUCGUUUUCUCGUUUUAGAAACAAAUCAAGAACGCAUGGAGCAAUCUUUUUUUUUUGGCCAAAUACGUAUAUAUGAAGCAAUCUUCAUUUAGGUUUUUAUUUUGUGCAUAUUCAGACAACAUGUUUGUUAUUCCGACCACAAGUUUAUUAUUGACGAACGUGUUAUUUUUCUGAUAGGCAGAACAAACAUGGAUACAUUGUAGAAAAGAAUUGAAAGAUAAGAACAGAGAUUGCCUUAUCUAUAUCCCUCCUCGUGUAGCAGCAGCUAAUGAUACGUACCAGAAACUAUCCGUCUUAACCGGUUGGUUCAGCAACUGGUUUGGACCUCUCCUUGAUUCUACUACAAGCUAUCCAACAAGAAAGCUGAUCGGUAAGCAAAAGAGAAAGAAAAAGAAAAAGAGAAAGAAGUUUAGAGUAUCUGCUCCAAACUUUGCACUUGGUCCUGCACCAGGUUUUGCUCCAGGUCCUUCUCCCCGUUUCGCUCCAGGUCCUGCUCCAACAACUCCUCAGAGUUAUGACCUUGUUGCACCUUCAAGCUCUCCUUCAUAUUCGCCAGCUGAGGCGCCGGAUGAAUCAAGCUUUGGUGGUCCGACUAAGAAGAGAGCAAAGAGUAUUGUUGCUCCUAGUCAAAGUGUUCCAGGUCCUCCUCCUCCUCCACCACCGGAGAAGAAGAAUGAUAUCUUGAUGGAUCUUAUCAUCGCUGUUGCUUCAACCGCUGUGUUAACGUUUUUUCUAGUUGCAUUGCUCUUCUUAUGUUGCUUCAGACGCAACAACCGCAAAAAUGCGGUUGGUCCUAGAAAUGGACCAAGAGAUGAAGGACCACUUCUACAUUUAUCUGAUUUAUCAGCUGGUAAAUGAUGUUUUUUAUUAAAUCAAAACGGUUUCACGUUUUAAUCUUUCAAGAACUAUAACUAACUCUUGUUUUGCUUAUUUUUUUCUUUAGGAUCUAAUGAGAACUCUCCAAAGGUUGCAGCCACGAGUAGGAGAUUCUUCACUGCUACUUCUAAGAAGAGAUCGUUUCUGUCUAGAGUAUCUCUAAAGAGAAACCAUCAUGACUUCCCACCAGCUGAAGCGUCGUCAUCCUCUGGACUUCCUCUUCCUCCUGGAAGAUCAUCAGGAGCUCCUCCUCUUCCUCCUGUGGCUCCACCACCUCCACAGGCUCCACCACCACCUCCUCCUAAAUCUAAACCUCCUCCUCCUGCUCCUCCAAAACUUGUGCGUCCUCCACCUGCACCACCAAAACGUCAAGGACGUAGCUCCUCUGGAGAUGGUUCUGACGUUGAUUCGGAGACCGGAGCUCCGAAAACGAAACUAAAACCGUUUUUCUGGGAUAAAAUGGCUAACCCUGAUCAGAAAAUGGUUUGGCAUGAGAUCAGCGCCGGUUCAUUCCAGUUAAGACUUUAAUUAUAACUUUUAAAACCUUUGUUUCUAGAACUUUGCCUAACUCGCUUUAUGCUUUUUAGGUUCAACGAACAGGAGAUGGAGUCUCUUUUCGGUUACAAUGAUGUGAACAAAAACAAGAAUGGUCAAAGAGGAGAAUCAUCUAGAGACUCUCCUGUUCAAUAUAUACAAAUCAUUGAUCCAAGGAAAGCACAAAACUUAUCUAUUCUUCUCCGAGCUUUGAAUGUAACAAUAGAAGAAGUCGUUGAUGCCAUCAAAGAAGGUAACGAGCUCCCAGUGGAGCUUCUCCAAACAUUGUUGAAGAUGGCUCCAACUUCAGAGGAAGAACUCAAACUUAGACUAUACUCGGGAGAUCUUCAUCUACUUGGCCCUGCGGAGCGAUUCUUGAAAAUUCUUGUUGAUAUACCUUUUGCGUUUAAACGUAUAGAGUCGCUUAUAUUCAUGAUAUCGCUUCAAGAAGAAGUCUCUGGCAUCAAAGAAUCACUCGCAACUCUCGAAGUAAGUCCACAAUUACACAUGACUUGCCUACUAUGUAUUUUAAUUUGAGUAGUGUUUAAAUCUAAAUACAAUUCAAGGCAUUAUUACAUAGAUUUUAGAGUUCACCAACUUUAAAUUAUCUUACAAUUUUAAAAUUUGAUGGAUUGCAAAAUAUUAAUAAUUUAUUUUAAAUCAUUAAUUGAAUAGUAUUCUGUUUUUUUGUUUUUUGUUUUGUUUCAGGUGGCUUGCAAGAAACUUAAAAACAGUAGACUGUUCAUAAAACUACUAGAAGCAGUUCUCAAGACAGGAAACAGAAUGAAUGUCGGAACUUUCCGCGGUGACGCGCAAGCUUUCAAACUCGACACGCUCUUGAAACUCUCUGACGUCAAAGGAACUGAUGGCAAAACUACACUAUUACACUUUGUUGUCCUUGAGAUCAUUCGUUCUGAAGGCGUUCGUGCUCUUCGCCUCCAGAGAUCAAGCAAAAGCUUCUCCAGCGUUAAAACAGACGAUACCAACACAGACACAAGUCCACAGUCUGUUGAACGUUACCGAAGCACUGGACUUCAAGUUGUUUCGGGACUAACCACAGAGCUUGAAGAUGUCAAGAGAGCAGCAAUAAUAGACGCUGAUGGAUUAGCUUCAACACUGAUGAACCUAAGUGGCUCGUUGACCAAUGCGAGGGAGUUUCUGAAGACGAUGGACGAAGAGAGCGAUUUCGAGAAAGCUUUAACUGGGUUCAUAGAACGUGCAGAUGGUGAUAUCAAGUGGUUGAAGGAAGAAGAAGAGAGGAUCAUGGUGUUGGUGAAAAGCUCUGCUGAUUACUUCCAUGGCAAAUCUGCCAAGAACGAAGGGUUGCGUUUGUUUGCUAUAGUGCGUGACUUCUUGAUAAUGUUGGAGAAAGUUUGCAGAGAAGUUAAAGAAACAACGAUGAUGACAUCCAGCAAAAAUCAUUCGAGUAAGAAGGAAACAAAGAUGAUUCCGGAAAGUAAUCAACCGGAUAACAUUCGACGGCAUUUGUUUCCGGCCAUUGCUGAACGGAGAGCUGACAGUUCGGAUGAUUCAGACAGUGACUAGGAUGGAAUAAGCAAAGCAGUUCGUUAUGUUAGUUUUUGUAUUAUGUUGUAUCAUUUCAGUUUCAAGUAAAACACAAACAAAAAAAAGUAACUUACAAUUUGUAUUUAUGUAUAAUUCUGUUUUUGUUUGUGCCCAGCUUUAUAAAAAUAGAUAGAUAGAUGGUAGGAACAAGAACACGAGAGCUUUUGUUACUAAAAGAAGAGAUACAACCUAGUCAAAUGAUUCUCCUCUAUGAAAAUUAUGUGAGCCUAAUCUAACAAGAAUAACAAUGGUAUCCUAACCCAAAGUUAUUGUUAAAUUCUAAAAAUCACAUAUAUGGUAAAAAAGCUAUACAUUAGAAUGAGGGGAAAGCUUGAGAGACUCCUUGCAGUGAAUGAGUAAGAGACUAUUUAUAGUAACUGUGUUGCCUCCCCCUCGCUUUCCUAGAAAAGAGAAAGCUUCUGAAUAAUAGAGGUUUCCUUUCCUUUUUUACCUAACUAUCCCAUGUCGCUUGAAAGACAUGCCUUCUGUUUUUGAGCCACUGCAAUAAUUCUCUAUCUAGUGACGAGUUGUUGACUACAGCAUCGAACAUCGGGCUUCCUAAUACUCCCAAGGUGCUUUUGAACAUCCAUAUUUUGUCCUUUGCCCAUGGCUUUUGAGGUUGCUUUGACUGUACAAAAAUAAGAUAAAAAUUUUAAAAGAUCACUAUCAUGGACAAUGGUGACAAAUGAAUAGCAUUUCGGAAGUGGGUCAAGUAUGAAGAGAUUACCAUCUGUGAAACCAUUGUUUUCACCGUCUUUGGGCCAUAAACACGAUGCUUUGAUGGCUUAUGAGCCUUUGCGUAGAAGGAAGCAACUUCGGGUAAAGAGAGGCAACCUCUGGUUGCUUUCACCAAUGUAAGAUCAGGAUCAGUAUUUGUCUGUUCAUACCAGUAAAUCAGCUGGCCGAGACAAUAGUUCUCGCCAUAUGUUUUCCGGUACUCCUUUAUACCCUCGCCUAACUUGUCCGCAUAUUUGGCCCCCAAAUCUAACGGGCUAAUUUGUACAGGAGAAGACAUAAAUGACUUGUAUUCCUGCCGACCAUAUCAAGACCCAUCUGUCAGUAGAAGUUUAACAAGACUUUGUCUUCUUUUAUCAUCCAAAUCAUACGAAAUAACUUACCCGAACUUUGAAAAAGCACUUUGUAUAGGCAUAUAUGUGAAUCAAAUCAGCUGCAGCAUCAUUCCGACACUUGUAUGUACAAGGUAGAUCUCGGACCUCAUCUCUCAACCUUCAUGGAAGAAAAUAUUCUUUGAUGUAAGUGUACAGUUUCCUAAAAGUACAAUGUUUCAUGCAUAUUGAUGCACUAACCAAAGUAAUGAUCUUUGAAGAUCCUUAAGGACGUCUGCAGAUCCAGAUGGAUCAUGGGCACGAAUCUUGGAUCUGAGUUCAUCAACAAUGCCCUCUUCCACGUGUGGCGAAAGGCACUGAAGGAUCUCCUCAACUAAGGAGCCAUCCCCGUUCCACAAAAAAGAGACUGUUUCUUCAGGAGUAAGCUUCUCCAGCGGAGGAGGAGCGUUCUUUGGAUCCCCAAACACACGUCUCAUAACAUAUCUUACCUGUGUUAUAACACUAAUUAGAGAAACUUCGAUUGGGAAAAAAUAUUUUACAAGCAAUUGCACAAAAAAUUUGAAACGCAACGCAGAUAACACGAUGUUUGGUUAUAUGAUAUGAAGAGAGAUUGCAGUCACCUUGUCAAGUGUGACAGCCAAAUUCUGAAGCCUCUGGUUGUAGACACCCUCAGCCUGUAUCAUCAAAGUUACAGAUAUAAUAAAGCAUAUAAAAGCUGGAGAAAAAAAUCAAAACCCAGCACAGAGUUCCAAAGCACAAAAGACAUGAACUAUUGAAAGAACCCGCAGAAAGGUAAAAAGGAAUGAUGUUCUGACCUGAACCUCAGCAUCACUUUUCUCAACAUCAAGGUGUAUGUCUGAAAAAUAUUUUCUCUUUUCUUCCAUAUUAUGCUUAAGAAUUUCCUCUGGAAGCUUAGUUCUCUCGAAAUUGAUGAACCGCACCUUUAUGCAGAAGAAACUUUCUGUCAGAAGCUGCACUCCCAUCAAUAGUGCUGCUAUAAACUAACAUAAAAUGAUUCAAGACUAACCAGAUGAGCAGAAUACGCAAUCACCCAAUCUGGCAGCCCACCAAGCAUACAACUUCCCAGUCCAGCUCUUCCCAACUCAAGAUAAUCUUCUUCUGAAACUGAAUUCAGUAUACAAGCUUCUAGCAUCAGUCUAUGUCGAUCCAGCAGACCAUGCCAUUCCUUCAACACCUGUUAUAUACAUGGUUCAGAAAAUUAUAUAGACAAUCAAAGGACAAAAGAAAUGCUUUUUAAACUUCGGUACAAAGACACUAAUUACUCAUUAGUGAACAAGCACACCAACCUCUGUCAUUAACCUUGCGUAUCUUAAUACCAGUUAAUAAUCAUAUAUAUGUUAACAUCACAAUUACCUUCUGAAAUGCACCUUCACCAGUGAGAUUCAAGUAGCUGCCUCGGCAUACUUGGCUACCACACAAGCAGACAGAAGCUUCAUAUUCUUCCUUACUCUGUUGCAGACAUAAAUAUCAUUCUUUUAACAGUAGAAUGGGAACAUAAAGAUUAAGAAGAGAGAGGGAAGAACAGACCUCAGUUACAGAAUUAUAAUCAAAAGUUAUCUCCUCGCCGUAUUCAAUCGGACGUACUGAAUAGAUGCCAAUCUGGUAGUGUCCAUCCACCGCAGUAACCCUGGAAGCACCAGUUGGCAAAGACGGAAAAUGAGUAACCCGUUUAAACUUGUUAUUAGGUAGGAAGACACUCAAGUAUCAAGAGUUCUCCCCUCCAUUUUUUAUUUUUUAAAGCAUGGACGCAUAGGUAAAAGGACGAGUAUUGCCUAAUAUGCCUACGAGUAGAGCAGAUAUCAUAAGCAAAUGUUGGUAAGUGUAUCCACAAAAUUUUAUAUCUAAGAAAUUUAUCUGUGUAUGUAUUGAUCUGAGCUUACUUAAGCAGGCUAGUUUAUGCAUGCAACAUGAAUGAAACUAAAUUAUUACAAUGGUCACGUGGUUCUACUCUCUAAACAAAAUUCUGGAAAAUUGGAUGAUUGCGGAAUUUAACUUACUUAGCUUCACAGUUAGGUCGGCAAGAAUGACAAAUUCGACUCGCAUAAUUAGCCUUGUGCAUGGCAUCAACAACAACUAAAUCAUAUCCAUCAGCGUCACCCUGCCAGUAACAUAACAACAUAAAAAAUAAGAAAAUGGUCUAAUAUAAUAUAUACAAGCCCAAUCAUCAUAUUUUCUUCAUACCUUCGGUCUCUCAAGAUAGAUAUUGUAAAACUCUGGUGCAGGAUCAGUUUUGUUUUCCUGCAAGGAACGAAUUCCAUCUUGCUUCUCAAACCACUUCCAAACAGGAUAAACCUACAAUAUCCAAAACAUACGUUCAGAGCUCCCUUCAGAGAAUGUUUCAUAUCCAAGAACAGCACGCCCAGUGAAUUUCAGAAAUUGUGCAGCUGACUAACUACCAAACAUAAAACUGCAAAGCUGCAAACCCACCUCUCCAAGAAAUUCAACAACAAAAUCGUCUUCCACAAAACCACCUUGUUUGUUGCAAACAACACCGAGGCCCUACAAAGGCAAAAAAGUAGCAACAAGAUAGAUUAACAAAAACAGUCCUAAAUAAAUUGAUGGAUUUCUAUGAAAGAAUGACAGAGCUCUAUACCUUCCGAUAAGACACAUAAUUAUCACCAGAACGACUUUCUAUAGCCUUUAAGACGCCUUGACACAUUUUCAUUGUUUGUAUAUCACACUCUUCACGAGCAUUCUCUUUGAGCUCUUCAAUCACAGGUCUUAAAGGGAAUACCAUGGGGGUGUUUCCAGAUCCAGUGAGAAACCUGACUUUCCUGUUCAGGGCACGUAAGACUACAUCUUCUAUAAAUGAAUGUUUAUCCUGCAGUGACCAGUCCAAUUCUCCGGGCAUUGAAUCAAGUAAGAGGUUAUGGGUGUAAGGAUCGAUUCCAUAAACCUCUUGCUCUAAAACCUCGUUGCCAAGAAGCUUUCUUGGUUUAUACUCCUUGACUUCAGGAAGCUCCAUAUCUAACUCUUCAAUGCCAUUUCGUUGUGCAUUCAGCUUCUCAUCAUAGUCCUCUGGCAAAGAAACCCGCAUCUUUCGUUGUACCUCCUCCUCGUCAGCGACAAUCGUGUACUCUUCAAUCAGUUCAUAUUUCCUUGUGACUGGUGGCACAAGACUAGCUUUGGUCAUACGUGCACCCCAUUCACGCUCUUCGGUCACAGAAUCAAAGGAUUCGUCUGCUGUAAAAUAUUUUUCAACACGUGAGUCCUGUGAUCGACCUUCUGAACGGAUAUCCGAUUCGCUUUCUGAAGCUGAGCUGUAAUUGUCAUUGUCAGAUAGCGCGGAAGAUGUUUCACUUCCCGAACCAAAUGAUUUACGAUUCAGUUUAGACAAACGCCUUUUGAUUUCGCGGUCAGAUGCAUAUUCUCCGUAGUCCAGCGCACCAUUUACACCAAAUGUGUCACUCGUCCUGCUCAUGUACUUCUUUUCAGUUACAGAUUUGCUCAACUUCUUGUUGUACUUAGAGGCUGAUGACAACCCUGAGCCAUCUUGCCACGACUUCAUCAAUUCAUCUCUUCUAUAUGAAGAAGUAGCCAUAGAGACCUCUUCUAAACGUGUGGCAAGUUGGAUAAACAGUAUGAUGAUUCGGUUCAUCUCUUUGGAGUCUCCCCGAUUCCUCUCUCUGGAUAUAAGAUAGAAUCAGAAGAAAUUUUACAAAACUAGUAUUAAGGAAAGCAAUAAAAACAGCUCCUACCUUUACUUAAGAACUAGGAGUCUAGGAAUAAAUGUCAAAAACAAGUAAUCCUACAUCCUAACAAACUGAGGGCCAAAAACCAAGCACAUGGGAAGAAAGCGGUUAUUGACUUGAGAAAUUAUAACCUAUAAUCCAGAAAGGACAUCAGCAGUCGUUCAACAUAUUGUUUGGCAAGUAGAAUCUUCAUAGUUACUUAUUUAUAAUUUGCAAGUCAAUAUUUGAAGUAUUAUUGGCAUAAUCAUGUACUAAAGAAGCUACCCAAAGAAAGAGGAAGGGAGCCUUACUUAAUUGCUUCCCUGCACAUCCGGCUGAUAUCCUCCUUGACAGAUUUCAAACCAUGACUAACGUAGUAACCGUUUUUCAUUUUUUCCUCUAUAUGAGCAACCUAGUAACCAAAGACACAUUAGGAUUAACUUUAACAAAUGGUAAAGAAAUAAGAGCAGACAUAAUAUACAGCAUACACGAAUACCAGAAAGCACCUUUAAAUCAAAGAAGUCAAAAGUAUUCUGCUUCAUGAUGCCCCUAAGGCUUGAAGAAAGGAAUUCCUCCACUCUCUUAUACCCGUGUUCUGACUUCUUAAUCGCCCAUCGCCUGAUACGAGCAUCCCUGGAUAGAAUUGCCGAUGAUUUCCGUGCAUCAUACAAUUUUGAGCGUUUGUAUAAGCUUCUUCGGAAUAACUGAUUGGCUGAGUCUCGCUUUUCCACUCGAUCAAAGUAAUCCUUAAGGUUACCAAAAUCAUCUGUAUCUCCUCCUAAUUCCAUAGACUUAUUAACAUUAGUCUGUUUCAAACUCCUUGACCUGGAAUGCAAGUCACCUGGUCCAGGAUGCUGGCAUUUGAGCCAACUUACUUUUCUAUAUUUCAAAGUCAAAUUUCCAAACUGGGAGCAGCCUGUGAUGUCUAUAGAAGAUAUAUGGGGAAAUAAACGAAGAAUUUCCUCAAGCAUGCUGGAAGUCACGUUUGUACAACCAACCAGAAUAAUAGAAUCAAUCUUCUCCGUGUUGUAAGUGUUCUGCAAGAGAAUGUCAUAUCAGAUCAAUUAAAAUACUAAAUUUUCUAAAAUACUGUAAACGAAAAGUACAGAGUGCUCACCAUGAUACUCCAGAGCCUAGAAUCUGUGCAGUUGGGACCCAAAGAAGAUAAGUCAACUUGUCUUGAAAUAUCCUUGUAUGAACUAACAAUGGCCUUCCAGUGUCUACAAGUCAUGGACGCAAAUGCAAGUGAUUUUACAUCAUAUCUCAGCAAAUGAAACACCCGUGCUAACACGUGACCAUCUAACAAAUCCCAGUACAUCCCCACGCUGCCAGAAGAUCCACUUCCUUCAACAUGGAAAGUAGCGUCCCCACAUAAAUCCUCAAAUGUCGACUCAUCCUUCUGAAAUAUUUGUGCAUCUUUCACUUCAGAAUGGUCUCCACUUUCACCAGCCAUCAAUCGAACUCUUUUCGUAUAUGAUGAUGAAUCAAAUUCUGAGGUUUAUGAACCAAAAACAAAAGAGAGAAGAGAACAAAUGUUUAAACAUACGAAAGCAGGAACUGCACAGUGUUAUAACCAGAAGAGAAUGAAGAAACAAAGGAAAUAGCCACCCAAGUUCAGAAACCGAUAAUAACUUGAAGAAAAGCAUGAGCUAAUAAGACGGAUGGGGUGGCAUUUAAGUUCUGGUAGUUAUGCAUACCUGAAUAUGGGUGCAUGUACUUGCCAGUCUCUUUCUUUGGCUGUCUUGCAUGAAUCCAAGAGUCUAAGACAUCGUUUAUGGCAGCAGAAAAUUCCCGAGUCUUGUAUGUUUUCAUAACCAAUUGAUGGAGUUUCCCACGGAAAUAACCAAGAAACUGAGGAUGCAUAGCAUGGAACGAGCUUAGACUUGUGUCCAUUUCAGAAUGCUUGAAAUCCUGCGACUCUGAGACAUCAAGGCUUUGACAAUCUGAAGGCAGAACUGGGGCUUUCCCCUUGCCACUGAUUUCAGAAGUUUUUGUGAUAGAAGUAACAGGUACCCAAAUUUUGUCAGAUUUCCUGAAGACACUAGUGUGGCGCUUUAUUAAACCUUUAGCAACCAAUAUCUGGAGCUCCGAAAAUGGCAAAGGUCCUUGUUCUUGCCCAGAACCAUCCAUGUAGAACCAAUCACCCAAAUGCAAUUGCAAAUCAUCGACUGUAAACAGACGAUCCCCAGGGGUGCUAACAGAUGCGUCAGUUCUCCAAAAUCCCUGCAUAUCUUGACUACCGCAAGCUGAUGACUGAGAAAUACUUUCGACGGAUUCCCUCUUGGAAUCACUAGAUGCAGGGGAUGGACGAGCAUGCCUUGAAGAGAACUUUUCCCCACCACGAACUUUUACAAGGGGAUCAGGAACUGAUGGAACUUGAUCAUUAACGACUAAUGAGUUAAGCCUAACUACAGACAGCACACUAGCUUUUACUCCCCUCGCCUGAUUUCUCUCAUCUACACCAGAAAAAGCCCACAGGGGAAGUUCCAGCCUAGAGCGGCUGCGAGGAUUAUACAAAUCAUCCUUGUGAUGCCAGCGAGGAUCCUCAUACCCAGACUUCUGCAUCAGGCAUAAUGGGAAACCAUCAUUCAGAACCAUUUUCUUUUUGUAAUCUCUAUCUUGAAAAGCUUCAUCGUGUCUUAUCCAGUCCCCGCCUGUGCAAGACCAACGACCUGAAAACCAGCUGCCUAUCUCAUCGCUCUCAGAACAAUCAACAUUUUCUGACUUCGAUUCUUCGAUGGCCAUUGCCUUGGGCUCUGAACGUUCCCACGACUCCUCAUUUAAUAGCAACUGAUUUACCACUUGAUAGUAGCACCAGAUGAUAUCUGCAAAUGCCAGAGUAGAACUUCUAAAUAGUGUCAUGCAAAACAUGUGGAUAAAUUUUUAAAAAAAAAAACAUGUGAAUAAACAAGAAGCUAUGAUUACUAAAAGUUGAUGUCGUCUAAAUGAAUAUCCAUGUUCAUGCACAAACCAUCAUAUGGCAGUAGACGGCCAUUACGUCUUUAACACACAUCAACACUUCCAAAUACUACAAACGAACUAAUAUAAAUAUAGAUGACUAUAUAAUAUCUUAAGUGAAUAUAAACGCUUGUAUCGUUACGUUUUCUGAUAGUAGAAGUAGGCCAAGUUAGGAAUAUAACUUGCCUGAAAGGAGGAGAAGCAAAUAGAGAAAAAAAUCAUAUCAUGCUAUAGAAAAAGUGCAAGUGGUGCCAACGAAACAUACCUUCAGAACUCACAAACCUUCUCGUCUCUUCAAGCUCAACUUUAAUCUGCACAGCUUCUGCAAAGCGAUAAAAAUAAGCCUAUCUUAGGUAUGGCAUAGAAGCCCCAUGGUGCAAUAAACUAAAUGUAUUAAGAAAAAUGCUUCAGAUAUUUGCUAGCAUUUUUGGCUGAAAACAUCAAAUUUCUGGCCGGAAAGAUAAUAUUUUACAUCUACUACAGUACCUCCAAGUGUUUCAAGUUCCCUGCCAGGGAUGAUAGUAUAGCCAUCCAAGAGACUCGCGAUCCUGUUAUCAAACUGGAAAUCUUCAUGAUGGCCCACUACAGUAUCAUUACUAUCUGGUAUGGACAAUGAUUCAGGCAAGGAAUCUUCAGCUCCUUGCUCCAUAUGAACUGCUUUGACAGCAUCUGCAAUAUCUUCUAAUAAAUUACCAGGCGCUUCAGGAGGAUUCACGAGCCGUGUCACAGCAUCUGACACGAUUGAUGGAAUAUUUAUGUUGACCACAGGAGAUGUUGCAUUUUCAAUAGUGACCCACCUAUUAUUAUCUGAAUGUUUAAUCAUAUGGUCAGAGAAAAGAAUGCCUUGCUCCACAAGAGCUUUAAGCUCGGAUAACUUUGCAGGCCCAUGUUCAGUGCCAUAGUAAUCAAGAUAAAACCACUCCCCCAAGGAUGAAUCUGCCGCCAUAGGCUCCUCGUGAGGUGGUGUAUCACAAAUGUCCAUAUCUACCUCCAUCGAUGGCAACUCUUCGGUAGUUGCUUCACCAACUAGCACAGACUCUUUUCCCUUUGCACACGCACUUGGAAUCUUGGAAGAAUCACAUACAGAAUUUUUCUCAGCCACCGGAUUAUUGUUAUUCAAAAUGUUUUUACCUUGCAAUUCUUUUCUUGAUGGAGACGACUCUUUUCCAUUAGAAUCCCUAUGCCUUUGCUUAUUCUCAAGCUCCAUACCAGUCUGAGAAUCCCUCCUCUCCCUAACUCCACUCUUUCUGCUUAUAUCUCUAUGGCCAUUACGUCUGGUACGAUCGCUCUGGGGAUCUUCCAUAUAUUUAGAAGUUCCGUCGCGGCGAUCACCGGACCAUUCAGAGUAACUUGGACUUCUUCUAUAAUCAUGGUGAUGGCUGCGGUCAUGUGGAGACCUUUUACGAGCAUGUGAAGGCUUCUCAAAGAUAUAUGGCGAUCUCUCCCGGGCAUAUGGCGACCUUUCCCGAUUGUGGGAACUUCUAUCCCUGUGGCCAUGGUACCUAGACCGGUCAUGUGGGGACAGAUCAGAUCGUGCAGGGCUGUGUCCAUGUCUGUCUGAAACAGCCCUGGCAGGGAAAUAUGAGUCUUGAUGCUUUUUAGGAUACUUUUCCAGAGAUGAGUGUUUUGAUGAAUAGGAAUCUCUGUAGUCUCUCUCAACAGAGUUCCGUGAAUAGUGGUCUGGGUGAAGAGAGCGGGAACAAUCAUCAGAAAGUUUUCUAUAUUUGGAGCUCCCAUAGUCCCCAUUAUCCGCAUAAAGAUGUUUGCGCUCAAAACUAUCCGGUUCAGCUCCAUGUCGCUUCAGUUUGUUCACAGUAGAAGAGUACUCUUUCCCAAGAUUAUUGGGAUCGUUGUAUUCGUUCUUAUGUAAGCUUUCCUCUAUUACAAUUUUAGAACUGACUCUCGUAGCUCUGUCAUUCCCACUUCUGAACUCUCUCCGGCGAUAGGUAUCCUCAUUCAAAAACCUCCCGCCGGGCGGGGUGCGUUCAUGUUCAUAGUCAUAAUCAUAUUUCCACGUUUUCUCUCUGUCAACUCCAUUCCUACGAGAUCUGUUGUAAGUAUGAUCAUCCUUUACCGUAUCCAUCUUAUGCCAUCUGUCUGGAAUGAACUCCCCCUUCUCAAUUUCAUUACCGGGAUCUCUCCAUGAUCUGAUUUCUCUCUCUUCUUUCCUGUACUUAUCUGCGGGUAAAUCCCUUCUCUCCACAUAAGAUUUAUCAUAUUGCAGGUUACUGCAAUCCCCAGAAAUCUCCCCUUUUUCAAUCUCAUUAUUCCGCAGUGACUUCACUGGAGAAAUCUCACCGGUCUCCAAAUCCCCAUGAGAAUUUAAUGUACCUAAUUCACCCUCUUCCACUUCAUCCUUAAACCCAGAAUCUCCACCGUUUUCUUCUUUAUUGCUACUUUCUCCUCCUUUUCCUUGCAAAAGUUCACUCUUUUUAUCCUGCUCUUUCUUCAGGACCUGUGAUUCUCCAGAAAGUUGCACUACCUGAUCUUUCGGCUGCUCUUCUGCUUGUUUCUGAGGCUGCUUGGGCUUCCUCCUGACAACUUUACGAAUAACCUUAACAAUUUUCUUCUUCUUAGGUGGCUGAGACGCUGAGGGUUUAGCUGGCUGGGACUCCGGAAGCUUAUCACUAGUUGAGAUUGAAGUGUGACCAUUCUCGGGAACCUUGGUAUCAAUGUUGCCUCCACAAAGCGUCUUCUCUGGAAGCUUGUCCAUGAUAUUCAGUAGAGGCAUGCAUGUGGCGACACCCCCAUCGCUCAUGGAAACAAAGCUUUUCUCAAGUCCCGGGGAUAUCAAUACUCAUGCUUCAGAACAUCCACCGCCAAAUUCAAGAACCUGUACACACCCAAGAAGCAAUCAGUGGCGAAAACUGAAUGUAGGGUUCUGCCCAGAGCGAGAAUCUGGAAACCCUACGGAGCCAAAUUGAUGAAAUUAGAGGAGACGAUGAGACGGGAAGACAGCGAAUUGAAGCGGGGAUUAUACCGGGGAGGGUAAGGAAACGUAGCGAAGGGGAUCAAAAAAACCCUAGAAUAGAGCUGGGAGGAAGACGAAGGAACGUGAGAAGGAUGAGAAAUUUCUGGAGAAUAAGAGAUCGAGGUCAAAGAAGACGAAUCGAGAAGGAAACCCUAGAAAGCUCUCGCUAAAUCUUAAUCUGGUUGUUCCCGUUUCGCCGGAAAAUCACCGUUGCGGCGUGUGUUCUUUCUCUCUCUGCGACCUGCGCUUCUCUUCUGAAUCGUUGUGUUCUCUCUCUCUCUCUCUCUCCGUUAUGUUUUCCUGAAAGAAGAAGCCGUCGUGUUAAUAUUUUAUUUUCUGUGUAUUUAUUUAUUUAUUUAUUUUUAUUUUUUAUAUCACCGUUUUCACCUUGACUAAUUUAGUUAUGAAAUUGCUAAUAGUACGAUUUAAUUUAUUGGUCAAAAGUAUAUUAGUAUGCAAUGGUAAAAAUGGUAAUUAAGAAUAGCUGUGAAUUGUAUUUGUAAAAAAUAGGUCCAAACACAUUUUGAAUGAUGUUUUCAUUGUAGUACAACGAGUGAAGUUUUCGUUAAUUUUGUUCUUAUAUAAAUAUUUGUUUUGAAAAAUAAUAAUUUCAUUAUAUGAACUUAACUUAUUAUUGAAUAUAUUAUAUUAUUAUAUAAUGUGCAAUAAGUUAAUAAUCUACUAAAAUAUUAAAUAUAUUUUUUCAACUGUAUGGUUGAUAAAAUCACAAGUUAUUUUCUCAUUCUAAUUCCUUUUAAUACAUUUCUCAAAAUGUUUUACUUAUCAUAUUUCUUCCUCAUAUUUUUUUCUAGUUUUCUUUCAUUGGGUUUUAUAGAAAAAUUCAACAGUAAAAAAUAGAAAAUAAUAUUAAAAUGAUAAUUAAAAGACAAAAUAAUGAAAAUACUUUGAAUAGUAACACUUAUUAAAACACUUCUCAAGAGUUUUUAUCUUUGUCAUUUUUUUUUUGUCACUAAUAUCUUUGUCAUUUAAAUAUGACAAAACAUGUGACUUUUUAGUAUAUUUGUAUAGUAGGCAUGUGAUUUUAUUAGCUUUUGCAUAUUUUAUAUGUGUUAAAAAAAAAAAUUUUUGAUCCAACAUAUUUUUACUGAAAACGAAAAUAUUUUCUUUUUUUCUAAACUGAGAUAAUUAUUUCUAUACUCAUCUUGUUCAUAAAAUUAUUAGUUUAAAACUAAUCUCUUUUUCUUAUUAACUUGAAAAAUAAAAUGAUAAUAUCAGUAACUGAUGAAAAUAAAAUUCCACAUAAUUUAUUUAACAAAGCUAAAAUAAUAUUUAAUGAGAAGCUUUCUGCAAUUAGUAACAAUAAUUUAUUCUGAUCAAAUCUACUAUAUUUAUAUGUCCUUUUAGCAUUCAAAAUUGGAUAAAAAUAUCAGAUCUACCAAAAUUUUAUAUCUUUACAUAUAUCACACUCUCGGGUCCGGAUCUGAAAAUAACAAUCAUACCAAAAACAAAAAUUGUGAAAAUGUUUACAUAUCAAAUUACUUGUUCAUACAUUAUUUACACGUUUUUACAGUUAAUUAACUUUUUCACAUGCGACAAAAUGGCAUAUUGUCAUUUACUCGUAAGACUAGCCCAAAAGUAAGGCGGCCACUUCCAACAUUUUUAGCAAUGAAAAUCCAUUUGGCGCUCAAACCAAACGCUAUGAGCGGUAAGAUUCUCACCGUUAAUAAACGGACAUCUUGACCCAAGACUUUUUUAUUAAACAACGUGGUGCGAAGCUUUGAAGAGAUUCUGAUUUGAUGAGCCAUUAAACACUUGGAACAACCCGUUACUUAUAAUGUGGGCUUUGUAAUGGGGGUCCAUUGGUGAUUGAUUACUCCUACAUUCUCUUAUUGAAGAACUUCUAAAACUUUAUUCCAAAAGCAGAGCAAAAUAAAAGCUUUGACAAAAAGUAACGACCACUCUAGGCUUUCUUAUCACAUCACAAAUAAAAAAUGCAUUUUAUCAUGAUGAAACUGAUUCACGGGAGAAAAAACAACACAAGAAUGCAAAAAUAAAAAGGUCCAGAUUCUAUUCAUGACAGCAUAUAAAUAAACAGAUGGCAUAAAGGUCGUCAAUAUCAUGACAUAACAAGAGUAUUAAUUGAUUCUGAGAUGAUAAUCAUGAUAUCUUCAAAUCCAAGGGAAAAGAAACCAAAUGGUGAACUACAACACUUUGUGGGCAGUUUUCGAGCUUAGGAAGUUUCCCCAGCUCGUUGUGUCACGCCAUUCACUAAAAGCUUAGUAAAGGACUCUGGCGGGUGGACUUGUACUCUCAUUCCCUGAUGUAGUCAGAAAUACCUCAAGCUCUAGCUUCUCAAAUGUCAAGCUUGUACUGUCCAUGGUCUAUACAUGUUUUGUUGUGUUAUUAACAUCUAAUUUUUUUUUUGAAUUAUAAAGAAGUAUCCUGCCUUCGGAAACUAGCUAAAGCCGCAUGUUAACAGUCUACGUUUUCGGCCCACGUGUCGGUCUCAUGUCCAUAGUGAUACCAAAAUUUUAAUUUUCCAAUGGCCUGGACUCGAACCCUAGUGGUUUCACUGUAUUGGGUUUCGCCCUCAGGUUAAUCUAGGCCCGGGCAUUUUACCCGGACCCGAAGACCCGACCCGAAACCGAUCCGAAAAAAUCCGGUCCGGGUAGGAACCGACCCGAUCAAAUUACCCUAUCGGGUCUUGUUGCAGAGGACCCGCGGGUCUUGGACCCGAUCCGACCCAAACGCGAAACCCGAUGGGUACCCGAAUUAAUAAUGUAAAUUAAAUAAAAUGCAUCAAGGGAGAAUCGAAGACGGGUUAUUUGUCAAGAGAACAUGGGGGUCAACCACUAGGAGACAACAAAUUGUUAUUGUAUCUCGCAUAGUUUAGUAUAUAUACACAUUUUAAUAUAAUAAAAACACAAAUUUUGAAUAAAAUUUUGAAUAUUUUAGGAUAUAUAAAUAUUUUCAGAUAUUUUUUUGUAUUUUUAGGUCUUUUUUAGAUCAAACCCGAAUCGAACCCGACCCGAAACCGAACCGUAUCCGAACCGAUAAAUUCUAAUUACCCGAAUGGGUCUAACUAUCUAAGACCCGACCCGACCCGGACCCGGCACGAUCCGAACCGAUCCGGAACCGAGAAUUUGAAAUUACCCUAUCGGAUCCUAAACUCUUAGACCCGAAAGACCCGGACCCGAAAGGACCCGAUCCGAACCCGACCCGGCGACCCGAAUGCCCAGGCCUAGGUUAAUCACCAUUGAACCACAUGCCCCUGUUUAUUAACGUCUAAUUAUGUCUAUUGUCCACUGUUUUCAUGGAUGUCUAAAACACCAUGUUCAAAAAAUAAAAAUAACACUUUUAAUAUAAUAUAAAACAAUAAAAAUAAGACACUUUUUAAUGUGGUGAUCAACAUAUACAUAAACGUUUCGAUCUUUUCUUAGGAGACCCGAGACCGUAAGGUAAGUAAGUAGAAACGUCGAUGGCUGUAUAUAUAUGUUGAUCACCACAUUCUCUGCGACACGAACACUUAGUAACUUGUACGUCUGGAAUCUUAAAAGAAGCCCAAAGGACCAUAAUGUUUUUGUUGUUUUCUACAUAUGAAUGAUUAUAUGAAUGCACUUAUGUAUCAAUAUAUAUGCCUGUUUGACUGACGUAGUAUGGGUGAAGGACACAACACAUGUACACAUUGAGUAAUGACCAUUGCGUAGUGUUUGUCCUUUUAACAAAAUUUAGAUACUUUUUCGCAAGAGGAGCGUAAGGCAGAAUGAAAUGAGAGAAAUAUUUUAUUAAUCAAAUUAAGAAUAUUUUUUAAUAGCAAUAUUAUCAUAUUCAUUGACAAAAAAAUAUUAUAAUAUUUAAGACAACCUUACUUUAUAUAUCUCCCUAAUAUUUACACCACACAAAAAUAAAAUCUAACUCAAACCCAACAGACGGUCGAGUCCUCAAUGCAAGAGUUAUCGAGUAUAGUUUGGGAACAAACAAUACUUAGAUUCACCUCUAUGGUACUAUCAAUUUUCACCUCACCAUUGAUCACCAAUCAAAGUGCUAUAUACAAAUAAUAAAAAAUAUUAAUUUUUCCAAAAAAGUAAAAUAGCUUCGUUAACAUUAACACCAUCAGCAAAACAUUUAACUCUAAACCUUAAAUACUAAAUUUAAAAUAUAAACCCUAAACCUAAAACCUAAGCCUUAUAAACCCUAAACUUUAACGAAAUGAGUUAGCGCCGCCGACGUUAGAGUUUAGGUUUACAGUUUAGAAUUCAGUGUUUAGAAUUUUGUUAACGAUCGACGUUAAUGUCAGCAUUUUUUUAAUUAAUUCUACAUGGUACUUUGAUUGGUGAUAAGAGAUGAGAUAAAUUUGACAGUUUAUUACAAGGGUGAACCCAACCCUAACCAUCAGUUUCGAGAAAUUUUUCCAUUUUGAUUUCAGACGAAGUUAUAUUUUCCCUUAACAAACGUGUGUGUGUGUGUGUGUUUUUGUUGGAAAAAUAAAAAAGUAGCAUCUAAUCUAUUAAUUUAGGGUCCUAAUUUUUAUCUACUAUUUAAAAGUCUUAGCAUGACCAUUUGAUUAAUUAUUUAAUAUGACAUAAUAAUUAUUCCUAGUCUAACAAAUCUGUUGAAAAAAUAUAUAUUUAAAUUUUAUUUUUAAUUAUAACAAAUUUGAUGAGAAAAUAUCUACCCAAAUCUUAUUAAAAGUUUUAAGUAUUUUUUAAAAUCAUACAAUAAUUAAUUUUGUAAUUAGUAAUAUAAUAUGAUUAUACAUUACUAUUAAUUAUUUUUUUAUUAUAAAACAAAAAAAUAAAAUUAUUUCCUAUUUUUAUAAAUUUUAUAAUGUAUUAUAUAAAAUAGAAGUACUAUAUGAAUAAAUAAAUAAAACUAUAUAAAAUUGGUAAAUUAAACUAUUUUAUUUUAAAAUUCUUUCAUUUAAAUAAAUAAAAUAAACUAUCAUUUCUUUCAUUUAAAUAAAUAAAAUAAACUAUUAUUCACCGUUAAAAAGGGUUAAAAUUCAUAAAGUAUGUAUAUUUUAUACAAAGAAUAUUAUCAUAUGUUAAACUUUUAUAUCUACAACUAUAUAUUAUUUAAUUAAUUUGAAACUCACAACAAUAUAUUAUCUAAAAUGAUUAUAUACAAAAUAUAAUAGUCAUAGCAAACUUUUAGUUCAUGCGUUAUUUACAAAAUAGGAUAUCAGAAAAAAAUAAUAAUUCAAAAGAUAUUAAUCAAAAGUCUAUUUUAACUACAAAUUUAUUGAGAGUGGUCUUUUUUAUAUAUUUUAUGUUGUGGCACCUACUGAUAUCUCUAUGUUUUUCAUUACAAGUAUGGUUUAUUGCGUGUUUUUUUAUCAUUCCACAAUGGUGUCUAAAACAAAGUAAAAAAUAUAAAACAAAUGAUUAUAUAUUAAUAAUGAUGAAUAAAAAACCUAAACAAUAUAAUUAUAUACUUACACAAUAUAUAACACUAAAAAAUCAUAUAUUUAAAAUGUUUAUGAUAAUGUUAAAUGUAUACAUUUAUAAAAUAAAAAUAUAUCCGCACGAACGUGCAGGUCAAAUUCUAGUUUUGGAUAAACGGCAGCUGUUUACGGUUUUAGCAUUACCGAUAUAACUGUUAAGAUUAGGAAUCCGAUCUUAGUAGAUAAAAAGGUUUUUAUAAAGGUAAAAAAAAUAUCAGAUUUCUUAAGCUGUAAAGAUACAAAUCUAAGAAAUUGUAAAAUAUUCAUUCAUACAAUCAAUAUAUGUACAAACCAUAAACCAAAUAUUUAGCAACUGAGUUUCUCUCUAGUUCUUUUGAUUUCGACGAGAUUGUUUUACCUUUGUUCUCAACAUUUUACUAGCCUUAACAUUUUUCUUUAGCUUUGUAGUUGAAAAGUUUAAAAGACAUAUGUUGAUAUUGAAUGACUCUUUCAUUACACUCCCCUUAAAAUUUAAAAUUCAAAUAGCAUUAUUCAAACAAUCACCUUACAAUUACAUAAAGUUUUCUUUUUAACUUAGAUCAAUAACAAAAAAUAAAUCCUUCUUAAUCCAUGUUUCCCCAAUCGUAAAACAUCAGAAGAACCUAGAUCUUGAGAUCUCACCAUUUUUCACUGUAUCAAAAGAAACACAAAGAGAUCAAGCCAAGAGAGAAGUCUUUUUCUGUGGAGCAGGACACUUGAAGUCACGAGGUGGAGUCUUGCCACAGUCGACGAGAAGCUCAAGAGCAAUGGGAAUAAUGAGGUCGAUGUUGAGAAGCUUCGCUCUAAUGGUGGUGCAAAGACAGACCGCUGCGUCAAGACCCACUAAACCGCCAAGAACUGGGCAACAAGUUGCCUUUGCAUAGCUUUUUCCUAGUCCGAUGUGAAUCAAGCCGCCAAGCACGUCCACACACGCGCCUAGCUUCAGUGCGUCGAUGGAGCACGUCUCCGGUUCAGGCGUUGGUGCCGGAGGUGGAGGAGGACACGGAGUUGGUGGAGGAGGCGGUGGCGGACAUGGCGUCUCUGGGGUUGGAGUUGGCGGUGGUGGCGGGGUUACGACUGGUGGGGUUGGAGUUGGCGGUGGAGGAGAAGGCGUAGGAGAUGGAGUGUACGGAGGUGGUGGCUUGACGGUGGGCGGUUUUGGAGUGUAAGGUGGAGGGGAUGGAGUGUACGGAGCUGGAGGCUUGACGGUGGGCGGCUUUGGGGUGUGAUGAGGUGGCUUGACGGUGGGUGGUUUGGGAGUGUGAGGAGGUAGUUUUGGGGUGUGAUGAGGUGGCUUAACGGUGGGUGGUUUUGGAGUGUGAUGAGGUGGUUUUGGAGUGUGAUGAGGUGGUUUGACGGCGGGUGGUUUUGGAGUGUGUUGUGGUGGCUUGACAGUGGGUGGUUUAGGCGGUUUAAUGGGAUGUUUGGGAGGUUUAACGGGGUGUGGAGAUGAUUUUGGAGGGUCACUGCAGUCACAAGCGUAAGAGACGGCGCAGAAACCAAGGAGGAGAAGUAUCAAAAAGGAGAGGUUUUGUUUGUGAAGAAUCCCCAUCUUG